Molecule: transfer RNA, 73 nt
Organism: Smittium culicis
Lineage: Eukaryota; Fungi; Kickxellomycota; Harpellomycetes; Harpellales; Legeriomycetaceae
Rfam family: tRNA
About the family: Transfer RNA (tRNA) molecules are approximately 80 nucleotides in length.
Source: Rfam
GUCGGGUUAGCUUAAUUGGUAAAGCAGUAAUCUUGUAAAUUACUUUAUGCGGGUUCAAGUCCCGCACCCGGCC